AGUAUCGUUCGGCUGAUCAUGAUCUUAUCUUCUGCCUAAAUUUGAAUGCGAUCCGAAUUAAAAAUAAGGAGAUAAGAAGGAAAGAGAUUUUUUAAGUUUGGAAAGAAAGGUGGUGUCAAGAUAUAUUUUUUCUUGAAUUCUUUGAAGAGUUUUUUAUCAUGAAAAAUACCAAUUCCCUUCCUCAUGCCAACACCUUUUUUCUAGAAAUUUUGGGAUGCCAAAUUGGUGGUUGGCAUGGUGAAUUUUUGGCACCCUCCCUUUGACCCAAAACCCAAAUCCCUUCUUAUUUAAAGGGGGCUCCAAUAAUAGAUGCUCUAUAUGUUCUUUUCCUUGUUCGUUUUAUUUCUUCUAUAGAGCUUUCUCUCUUCUUCUCUUCCUCCUUUAAGUCUUCUUUUUCUUUGGAGCAUC
Molecule: long non-coding RNA, 408 nt
Filed under: Elaeis guineensis (African oil palm)
Lineage: Eukaryota; Viridiplantae; Streptophyta; Magnoliopsida; Arecales; Arecaceae
Description: long non-coding RNA (EGUI_LNC047603)
Source: RNAcentral